UGGGGAAUAUUGGACAAUGGGCGAAAGCCUGAUCCAGCCAUGCCGCGUGUGUGAAGAAGGUCUUCGGAUUGUAAAGCACUUUAAGUUGGGAGGAAGGGCAGUAAGCGAAUACCUUGCUGUUUUGACGUUACCGACAGAAUAGCACCGGCUAACUCUGUGCCAGCAGCCGCGGUAAUACAGAGGGUGCAAGCGUUAAUCGGAAUUACUGGGCGUAAAGCGCGCGUAGGUGGUUCGUUAAGUUGAAUGUGAAAGCCCCGGGCUCAACCUGGGAACUGCAUCCAAAACUGGCGAGCUAGAGUAGGGCAGAGGGUGGUGGAAUUUCCUGUGUAGCGGUGAAAUGCGUAGAUAUAGGAAGGAACACCAGUGGCGAAGGCGACCACCUGGGCUCAUACUGACACUGAGGUGCGAAAGCGUGGGGAGCAAACAGG
RNAcentral lists this ribosomal RNA (428 nucleotides) under Pseudomonadota bacterium. Its description in RNAcentral is "Proteobacteria bacterium partial 16S ribosomal RNA". It matches the Rfam family "Bacterial small subunit ribosomal RNA", at positions 355 to 776 of the family's 1533-position model. Lineage: Bacteria; Pseudomonadati; Pseudomonadota. The record is from RNAcentral.